This 822-nucleotide ribosomal RNA is filed under the name uncultured bacterium. RNAcentral describes it as "bacterial SSU rRNA". It matches the Rfam family "Bacterial small subunit ribosomal RNA", at positions 596 to 1421 of the family's 1533-position model. The record is from RNAcentral.
GAAAUUUUGCAGCUUAACUGUAACAGUGCCGUUGAUACUGUAGGGCUAGGAUUUGGUUGCUGUGGGUGGAAUGUGUGGUGUAGCGGUGAAAUGCUUAGAUAUCACACAGAAUAUCGAUUGCGAAGGCAGCUCACAAAGCCAAGAUUGACGCUGAGGCACGAAAGUGUGGGGAUCAAACAGGAUUAGAUACCCUGGUAGUCCACACUGUAAACGAUGAUAACUCGCUGCCGGCGAUACACAGUCGGUGGCCAAGCGAAAGCGAUAAGUUAUCCACCUGGGGAGUACGACCGCAAGGUUGAAACUCAAAGGAAUUGACGGGGGCCCGCACAAGCGGAGGAACAUGUGGUUUAAUUCGAUGAUACGCGAGGAACCUUACCCGGGCUCGAACGGUUCAUGAAUAUACAAGAGAUUGUAUAGUCCUUCGGGACAUGUAUCGAGGUGCUGCAUGGUUGUCGUCAGCUCGUGCCGUGAGGUGUCGGCUUAAGUGCCAUAACGAGCGCAAUCCUUGUCAUUAGUUACCAUCAGGUCAAGCUGGGGACUCUAAUGAGACUGCCACCGUAAGGUGUGAGGAAGGGGGGGAUGACGUCAAAUCAGCACGGCCCUUAUGUCCGGGGCGACACACGUGUUACAAUGGGAGGUACAGAGGGCAGCUAUCCAGUGAUGGAGUGCAAAUCUCAAAAACCUUUCUCAGUUCGGAUUGGAGUCUGCAACUCGACUCCAUGAAGUUGGAUUCGCUAGUAAUCGCGCAUCAGCCAUGGCGCGGUGAAUACGUUCCCGGGCCUUGUACACACCGCCCGUCAAGCCAUGGAAGCUUGGGGUGCU